This 482-nucleotide ribosomal RNA is filed under the name uncultured organism. RNAcentral's name for it is "bacterial SSU rRNA". It matches the Rfam family "Bacterial small subunit ribosomal RNA", at positions 30 to 507 of the family's 1533-position model. The record is from RNAcentral.
AUUGAACGCUGGCGGCAUGCCUUACACAUGCAAGUCGAACGGUAACAGGUCUUCGGAUGCUGACGAGUGGCGAACGGGUGAGUAAUACAUCGGAACGUGCCCGAUCGUGGGGGAUAACGAGGCGAAAGCUUUGCUAAUACCGCAUACGAUCUACGGAUGAAAGCAGGGGACCGCAAGGCCUUGCGCGGACGGAGCGGCCGAUGGCAGAUUAGGUAGUGGGUGGGAUAAAAGCUUACCAAGCCGACGAUCUGUAGCUGGUCUGAGAGGAUGAUCAGCCACACUGGGACUGAGACACGGCCCAGACUCCUACGGGAGGCAGCAGUGGGGAAUUUUGGACAAUGGGGGAAACCCUGAUCCAGCCAUGCCGCGUGCAGGAUGAAGGCCUUCGGGUUGUAAACUGCUUUUGUACAGAACGAAAAGGUCGCUUCUAAUAAAGGCGGCCCAUGACGGUACUGUAAGAAUAAGCACCGGCUAACUACGUG